This 492-nucleotide ribosomal RNA is filed under the name uncultured bacterium. Its description in RNAcentral is "bacterial LSU rRNA". It matches the Rfam family "Bacterial large subunit ribosomal RNA", at positions 402 to 904 of the family's 2925-position model. The record is from RNAcentral.
AGGAACAAGGCAAAGGUCAGGGUGACCUGAGGCCAAGGAAGACUGGUUUUGAAGUUGUAUCUCGGUGACCGAUAGCGGACAAGUACCGUGAGGGAAAGGUGAAAGUACCCCGGGAGGGGAGUGAAAUAGAUCCUGAAACCGUGCGCUUACAAUCCGUCGGAGCCUCCUUGCGGGGUGACGGCGUGCCUUUUGAAGAAUGAGCCUGCGACGUUAGUGCUCAGUGGCGAGGUUAACCCGUGUGGGGAGGCCGUAGCGAAAGCGAGUUCCGAAUAGGGCGAAUGUAGUCGGCUGGGUCUAGACCCGAAGCGGAGUGAUCUACCCAUGGCCAGGUUGAAGCGACGGUAAGACGUUCGUGGAGGACCGAACCCACUUAGGUUGAAAACUGAGGGGAUGAGCUGUGGGUAGGGGUGAAAGGCCAAUCAAACUCCCGUGAUAGCUGGUUCUCCCCGAAAUGCAUUUAGGUGCAGCGUCACGUGUUUCGUCGACGCGGCC